UACGGAGGGGGCAAGCGUUAUCCGGAUUUACUGGGUGUAAAGGGAGCGUAGGCGGCGAUGCAAGUCAGAAGUGAAAGCCCGGGGCUCAACUCCGGGACUGCUUUUGAAACUGUAUGGCUAGAUUGCAGGAGAGGCAAGUGGAAUUCCUAGUGUAGCGGUGAAAUGCGUAGAUAUUAGGAGGAACACCAGUGGCGAAGGCGGCUUGCUGGACGAUGACUGACGUUGAGGCUCGAAAGCAUGGGUAGCGAACAGG
This 253-nucleotide ribosomal RNA is filed under the name uncultured Coprococcus sp. RNAcentral's name for it is "partial 16S ribosomal RNA". It matches the Rfam family "Bacterial small subunit ribosomal RNA", at positions 524 to 776 of the family's 1533-position model. Lineage: Bacteria; Bacillati; Bacillota; Clostridia; Lachnospirales; Lachnospiraceae. The record is from RNAcentral.